This 424-nucleotide ribosomal RNA is filed under the name uncultured bacterium. RNAcentral describes it as "partial 16S ribosomal RNA". It matches the Rfam family "Bacterial small subunit ribosomal RNA", at positions 360 to 776 of the family's 1533-position model. The record is from RNAcentral.
AAUAUUGGACAAUGGGCGCAAUCCUGAUCCAGCCAUACCGCGUGGGUGAAGAAGGCCUUAGGGUUNUAAAGCCCUCUUGUUGGGAANGAAAAGCAGCCGGUUAUUACCCGGUUGUUCUGACGGUACCCAAAGAAUACGCACCGCCUAACUACGCGCCAGUAGCCGCGGUUAUUCGAAGGGUGCAAGCGUUACUCGGAAUUACUGGGCGUAAAGCGUGCGUAGGUGGUUGUUGAAGUCAGUCGUGAAAGACCUGGGCUCAACCCGGGAAUGGCGAUGGAAACUGGGCGAAUAGAGUGUGGCAGAGGGUAGUGGAAUUCCUGGUGUAGCAGUGAAAUGCGUAGAGAUCAGGAGGAACAUCCGUGACGAAGGCGACUGCCUGGGCCAACACUGACACUGAGGCACGAAAGCGUGGGGAGCAAACAGG